GACGAACGCUGGCGGCGUGCUUAACACAUGCAAGCCGAACGGAAAGGCCCUGCUUUUGUGGGGUGCUCGAGUGGCGAACGGGUGAGUAACACGUGAGUAACCUGCCCUUGACUUUGGGAUAACUUCAGGAAACUGGGGCUAAUACCGGAUAGGAGCUCCUGCUGCAUGGUGGGGGUUGGAAAGUUUCGGCGGUUGGGGAUGGACUCGCGGCUUAUCAGCUUGUUGGUGGGGUAGUGGCUUACCAAGGCUUUGACGGGUAGCCGGCCUGAGGGGGUGACCGGCCCCAUUGGGGCUGAGUUACGGCCCAGACUCCUACGGGGGGCAGCGGUGGGGAAUAUUGCACAAUGGGCGGAGGCCUGAUGCAGCAACGCCGCGUGCGGGAUGACGGCCUCGGGUUGUAAACCGCUUUCGCCUGUGACGAAGCGUGAGUGACGGUAAUGGGUAAAGAAGCACCGGCUAACUACGUG
This 467-nucleotide ribosomal RNA is filed under the name uncultured bacterium. RNAcentral's name for it is "partial 16S ribosomal RNA". It matches the Rfam family "Bacterial small subunit ribosomal RNA", at positions 28 to 507 of the family's 1533-position model. The record is from RNAcentral.